Molecule: non-coding RNA, 120 nt
Organism: Pseudogymnoascus pannorum
Lineage: Eukaryota; Fungi; Ascomycota; Leotiomycetes; Thelebolales; Thelebolaceae
Source: Rfam
ACAUACGACCAUAGACUCAAGAGAAUUGGGCAUCCCGUCCGCUCUGCCAUACACAAGCUUGAGAUCGGUGGAUUAGUAGUUGGGUGGGUGACCACCAGCGAAUACCCACUGUUGUAUGUG